RNAcentral lists this ribosomal RNA (475 nucleotides) under uncultured bacterium. Its description in RNAcentral is "SSU rRNA". It matches the Rfam family "Bacterial small subunit ribosomal RNA", at positions 26 to 518 of the family's 1533-position model. The record is from RNAcentral.
AGGACGAACGCUGGCGGCGUGCUUAACACAUGCAAGUCGAGCGGAAAGGCCCUUUCGGGGGUACUCGAGCGGCGAACGGGUGAGUAACACGUGAGUAACCUGCCCUUGGCUUUGGGAUAACCCUCGGAAACGGGGGCUAAUACCGAAUAUUCACUGCUCCUCGCAUGGGGGGUGGUGGAAAGAUUUUUUGGCUGGGGAUGGGCUCGCGGCCUAUCAGCUUGUUGGUGGGGUGAUGGCCUACCAAGGCGACGACGGGUAGCCGGCCUGAGAGGGCGACCGGCCACACUGGGACUGAGACACGGCCCAGACUCCUACGGGAGGCAGCAGUGGGGAAUCUUGCGCAAUGGGCGAAAGCCUGACGCAGCGACGCCGCGUGGGGAUGAAGGCCUUCGGGUUGUAAACCCUUUCAGCAGGGACGAAGCGAAAGUGACGGUACCUGCAGAAGAAGCGCCGGCUAACUACGCGCCAGCAGCGC